This 1247-nucleotide ribosomal RNA is filed under the name Mexican potato purple top phytoplasma SINTV. RNAcentral describes it as "bacterial SSU rRNA". It matches the Rfam family "Bacterial small subunit ribosomal RNA", at positions 153 to 1399 of the family's 1533-position model. Lineage: Bacteria; Bacillati; Mycoplasmatota; Mollicutes; Acholeplasmatales; Acholeplasmataceae. The record is from RNAcentral.
GAAACGACUGCUAAGACUGGAUAGGAAGAAAUAAGGCAUCUUAUUUCUUUUAAAAGACCUAGUAAUAGGUAUACUUUAGGAGGGGCUUGCGCCAUAUUAGUUAGUUGGUAGGGCAAUGGCCUACCAAGACGAUGAUGUGUAGCUGGACUGAGAGGUUGAACAGCCACAUUGGGACUGAGACACGGCCCAAACUCCUACGGGAGGCAGCAGUAAGGAAUUUUCGGCAAUGGAGGAAACUCUGACCGAGCAACGCCGCGUGAACGACGAAGUACUUUGGUAUGUAAAGUUCUUUUAUCAAGGAAGAAAAGCAAGUGGCGAACCAUUUGUUUGCCGGUACUUGAUGAAUAAGCCCCGGCUAAUUAUGUGCCAGCAGCCGCGGUAAGACAUAAGGGGCAAGUGUUAUCCGGAAUUAUUGGGCGUAAAGGGUGCGUAGGCGGUCUAGUAAGUCAGUGGUGUAAUGGCAACGCUCAACGUUGUCCGGCUAUUGAAACUGCUAAACUUGAGUUAGAUAGAGGCGAGUGGAAUUCCAUGUGUAGCGGUAAAAUGCGUAAAUAUAUGGAGGAACACCAGAGGCGUAGGCGGCUCGCUGGGUCUUAACUGACGCUGAGGCACGAAAGUGUGGGGAGCAAACAGGAUUAGAUACCCUGGUAGUCCACGCCGUAAACGAUGAGUACUAAGUGUCGGGUUAAACCGGUACUGAAGUUAACACAUUAAGUACUCCGCCUGAGUAGUACGUACGCAAGUAUGAAACUUAAAGGAAUUGACGGGACUCCGCACAAGCGGUGGAUCAUGUUGUUUAAUUCGAAGAUACCCGAAAAACCUUACCAGGUCUUGACAUGUUUUUGCGAAACGGUAGUAAUAUCGUAGAGGUUAUCAGAAACACAGGUGGUGCAUGGUUGUCGUCAGCUCGUGUCGUGAGAUGUCAGGUUAAGUCCUAAAACGAGCGAAACCCUUAUCGUUAGUUGCCAGCACGUUAUGGUGGGGACUUUAACGAGACUGCCAGUGAUAAACUGGAGGAAGGUGAGGAUCACGUCAAAUCAGCAUGCCCCUUAUGACCUGGGCUACAAACGUGAUACAAUGGCUGUUACAAAGGGUAGCUGAAACGUAAGUUCUUGGCCAAUCCCCAAAAACAGUCUCAGUCCGGAUUGAAGUCUGCAACUCGACUUCAUGAAGUUGGAAUCGCUAGUAAUCGCGAAUCAGCAUGUCGCGGUGAAUACGUUCUCGGGGUUUGUACACACCGCCCGUCA